Molecule: long non-coding RNA, 454 nt
Filed under: Ananas comosus (pineapple)
Lineage: Eukaryota; Viridiplantae; Streptophyta; Magnoliopsida; Poales; Bromeliaceae
Description: long non-coding RNA (ACOM_LNC035835)
Source: RNAcentral
CAUUAUUCCCGUUAUCGCUAUUGUUGUUGCUGCUGUUAUUUUUUUCAUUAUUGUUCUUCUUCAUCCCACUCCUUCCGAUUCCAUCGUUAUUCCAUCCUCGUUGCAGCCUUCCCCGCAUCCAUCGCCUCCUUGUCCAACCACCACCACCGGCGCCCCAUGCCGCCGUCACCGCGAGCAUCGCUCACGUCCGCUCACCUACUCAUCCACAGAUUCAGCCAUAGCUAUCACAAAGCUGGUGCAAGUGGCGGCAGAAGAUGAGGAGAGAAAGGCAGUGGCGAAAGGGGCGAGGAGAAGGGGGUGCCAGGCGGCGGAAGGAGCGAGGAGGAGGGGGUGGGGAGCAGGGAGUAUAUGGAGAAGAAGGGAUUGUUGGAGAGAGAGAGAGGGACAUGUGAGAGCAUAGGAGAACACUGAGAAGUGGAAUAGGGAGAUGUACGAUACUGGAAAGAAGUGGGAU